UACAGAGGGGGCAAGCGUUGUUCGGAAUUACUGGGCGUAAAGGGUGCGUAGGUGGCGCGCUAAGUCAGGUGUGAAAUUUCGGAGCUUAACUCCGAAACUGCAUUUGAUACUGGCGUGCUUGAGGACUGGAGAGGAGACUGGAAUUCAUGGUGUAGCAGUGAAAUGCGUAGAGAUCAUGAGGAAGACCAGUGGCGAAGGCGGGUCUCUGGACAGUUCCUGACACUGAGGCACGAAGGCCAGGGGAGCAAACGGG
This 253-nucleotide ribosomal RNA is filed under the name uncultured bacterium. Its description in RNAcentral is "partial 16S ribosomal RNA". It matches the Rfam family "Bacterial small subunit ribosomal RNA", at positions 524 to 776 of the family's 1533-position model. The record is from RNAcentral.